UAUUGGUCAAUGGGCGCGAGCCUGAACCAGCCAAGUAGCGUGAAGGAUGACGGCCCUAUGGGUUGUAAACUUCUUUUAUAUGGGAAUAAAGUUUUCCACGUGUGGAAUUUUGUAUGUACCACAUGAACAAGGCUCGGCUAACUCCGUGCCAGCAGCCGCGGUAAUACGGAGGAUCCGAGCGUUAUCCGGAUUUAUUGGGUUUAAAGGGAGCGUAGGUGGAUUGUUAAGUCAGUUGUGAAAGGUUGCGGCUCAACCGUAAAAUGGCAGUUGGAACUGGCAGUCUUGAGUACAGUAGAGGUGGGCGGAAUUCGUGGUGUAGCGGUGAAAUGCUUAGAUAUCACGAAGAACUCCGAUUGCGAAGGCAGCUCACUGGACUGUUAACUGACACUGAGGCUCGAAAGUGUGGGUAUCAAACA
Molecule: ribosomal RNA, 416 nt
Filed under: uncultured bacterium
Lineage: Bacteria
Description: bacterial SSU rRNA
Rfam family: Bacterial small subunit ribosomal RNA
Source: RNAcentral